This 1279-nucleotide unclassified non-coding RNA is filed under the name Hevea brasiliensis (rubber tree). The record is from RNAcentral. Lineage: Eukaryota; Viridiplantae; Streptophyta; Magnoliopsida; Malpighiales; Euphorbiaceae.
CGCAGCUAUCGCUAUGGCCGUUGCUGAGGAGAAGCAGGCUUAUACUUCACCUGGUGACGACACAAAGAGGAAGAGGAAGCGAAAGCGAAACCGGGCAAACAAAGUUUUCGCCGCAGAAGAACCGGAGCAACAAAACCCUAAUCAAAUUGAUGAAGAAGAAGAGGAGGAGAGAGAAAUUGAGGUUGUGAAAGACAAUAAGGAUAAGAGGAAAAAGAAGAAUAAGAAGUUGAAGAACAAUGAAGGUGGAAAUGCUGAGGAAGAGUUGGAUGAGGAAGAUUUGGAGGAAGAGAAGGUGGAAAAAAAGGUGAAGAGCGGGGGUGGGAUUAUGAGUGCAGAUUCUUUUGACUCUUUAGGAUUAUCUGAACCUACUCUCAAGGCCAUUCAGGAGAUGGGAUUUCAGUAUUUGACUAAGAUUCAAGCCAGAGCAAUUCCACCCCUUCUGAUCGGCAAAGAUGUUCUUGGUGCUGCAAGGACAGGUUCUGGGAAAACACUUGCUUUCUUAAUACCAGCUGUGGAGUUGUUAUAUAAUGUCAGUUUCACUCCUCGCAAUGGAACAGGCGUUGUUGUCAUUUGCCCAACAAGGGAACUUGCCAUACAGACUCAUGCUGUUGCAAAGGACCUUCUCAAAUAUCACUCGCAAACUCUUGGCUUGGUCAUUGGGGGUUCUGCUAGAAAAGGAGAAGCAGAACGUAUCACGAAAGGGGUAAAUUUAUUGGUUGCAACUCCUGGUCGACUUCUUGAUCAUCUUCAAAAUACGAAGGGAUUUAUAUACAAGAACUUGAAGUGCCUCAUGAUUGAUGAAGCGGAUAGGAUAUUGGAGGCCAACUUUGAGGAAGAAAUGAAACAAAUUAUCAAGCUUCUGCCAAAGAGUAGGCAAACUGCUUUAUUUUCAGCAACUCAAACUGAGAAGGNNNNNNUUGAGGAUCUUGCCCGCUUGUCGUUUCAGACUACUCCUAUCUAUAUUGAUGUGGAUGAUGGAAGAACUAAGGUCACAAAUGAAGGGUUGCAGCAAGGCUAUUGUGUAGUGCCUAGUGCCAAGAGAUUUAUUCUUCUCUACUCAUUUCUGAAGAGGAAUUUAUCGAAGAAAGUGAUGGUCUUCUUCUCUUCAUGUAACUCGGUCAAGUUCCACUCUGAACUUCUCAGAUACAUUCAGGUUGAAUGCCUUGAUAUCCAUGGAAAACAAAAGCAGCAGAAACGGACCUCUACCUUUUUUGAUUUCUGCAAAGCAGAGAAGGGGAUCUUGCUAUGUACUGAUGUUGCUGCUCGUGGACUUGAUAUU